This 211-nucleotide long non-coding RNA is filed under the name Elaeis guineensis (African oil palm). RNAcentral describes it as "long non-coding RNA (EGUI_LNC069242)". Lineage: Eukaryota; Viridiplantae; Streptophyta; Magnoliopsida; Arecales; Arecaceae. The record is from RNAcentral.
UGGAUAGAUUCGGUGCAAAAUUGAAAGAGUUUUGGAUUUCUAAAACUCUAUCUCAUAGAAUUCAAAAUCCAAACUUAUUCCUUUUUGAUUUGAUCCAAACCUCCUUCCAUGUAAGAAAGAAGAGAGGAGACCUUUUGUGAACGUGGGAGAGACCUGGGAGAGGGCUUUUGUCGCACAAAAUAAGAAGAGAUUGGCGUUGAAUGAGAGAGAG